RNAcentral lists this ribosomal RNA (406 nucleotides) under uncultured bacterium. RNAcentral's name for it is "partial 16S ribosomal RNA". It matches the Rfam family "Bacterial small subunit ribosomal RNA", at positions 29 to 526 of the family's 1533-position model. The record is from RNAcentral.
AUUGAACGCUGGCGGCAGGCCUAACACAUGCAAGUCGAACGAGUGGCGGACGGGUGAGUAAUGUCUGGGAAACUGCCCGAUGGAGGGGGAUAACUGCUGGAAACGGUAGCUAAUACCGCAUACCAUCGGAUGUGCCGAGAUGGGAUUAGCUAGUAGGUGGGGUAACGGCGCACCAAGGCGACGAUCCCUAGCUGGUCUGCGAGGGUGACCAGCCACACUGGAACUGAGACACGGCCCAGACUCAUACGGGAGGCAGCAGUGGGGAAUAGUGCACAAUGGGCGAAAGCCUGAGGCAGCCAUGCCGCGUGUAUGAAGAAGGCUUUCGGGUUGUAAAGUACUUGCAGCGAGGAGGCGUUACUCGCAGAAGAAGCACCGGCUAACUCCGUGCCAGCAGCCGCGGUAAUUC